Callithrix jacchus (white-tufted-ear marmoset) is the source of this 296-nucleotide unclassified non-coding RNA. It matches the Rfam family "Metazoan signal recognition particle RNA". From Rfam's summary of the family: The signal recognition particle (SRP) is a universally conserved ribonucleoprotein. It is involved in the co-translational targeting of proteins to membranes. The record is from Ensembl. Lineage: Eukaryota; Metazoa; Chordata; Mammalia; Primates; Cebidae.
GCCAGGUGCGGUGACGUGUGCCUGUAGUCCCAGCUACUCAGGAGGCUGAGGCUGGAGAUCACUUGAGCCCGGGAGUUCUGGGCUGUAGUGCGCUAUGCCGAUCGGGUAUCAGCACUAAGUUCGGCAUUAAUAUGGUGACCUCCUGGGAGCGGGGGACCACCAGGUUGCCCAAGGAGGGAUGAACCGGCCCAGGUUAGAAACGGAGCAGGUCAAAACUCCCGUGCUGAUCAGUAGUGGGAUCACGCCUGUGAAUAGCCACUGCACUCCAGCCUGGGAAACGUAGCGAAACACCUCUU